GCACAUCAUAAAAAUCUUCAUGCUGUGUCUGCUUCUCAACCAAGCGCAUCUGUAUCAGACGAUCAAGAGAGUAUAGAUGUGAACUACACAGUUCUGCAGUUUCCUCUAGAAAACACAAACCCAGAGAGUUCAGAGAAUGAGGAGAGAGAGGAAAGAGGGAAGAGAACAAUUUAUUCCAGCCUGAAAUGUCAAAUCUCCAACAUCACCGAGGAAAACUGAGGAAAGAACUCCACGGUGCAGAUUUCCAUCAAAAUUAUUGAAGAUCACCAUACUGACCCAGAGCUGAUUAACAUCUAUAAAUUAUGAUCCAGUCCACACAUACGCUGUCGUGGUUAUGAUGAAGAUGAUCUCAGAGGUUAGACAGACUACAUCAGUUUUCAACAGUACCCGUGCCUUGUUUUACUCCGAUACACCUGAAUGGGCUUCAAGACCCGUAUACAGUAAAAAGAUAUCGAGUAAUCUAAGUGUGUUGUCCAGUAUUUUUUUCUCUAGUUGAUUGUUUCCUCUUCAU
Non-coding RNA from Danio rerio (zebrafish), 511 nucleotides. The record is from RefSeq and is a predicted model, not a curated record. Lineage: Eukaryota; Metazoa; Chordata; Actinopteri; Cypriniformes; Danionidae.